CUCCCAGUAGCUGCGCAGCUUUUAAAUAGUUUACAAUAAUCUCUCCCCUGUUUUCUGAUGAGAACUCAAUUAGAAUAGCUAGGAGCAGAGGCUGCCAUUAUGGACAAAGUGGAAUGUCACGACAGAGAUAAUUGAGGGAAAUGCUUCUACGUUGCUGCCAAAACCACAGUCCUGACUCAGACUGCAAAGAGCAAAGGAGGAGUUGGACGAUCACACACGCUUUUCUCUCCCACCCCUCAGCACACAAGGAAAAAAUAUUCUGUGCACAUUUGUGUGGUGCCUUAUAAAUUCCUUAUCAGAUUCGGGUUUGCAGGUCUCGAUCUUCAAGCCCGAGGUCCGGCGCGCAAUCGAAUGUGCCGCAAAAGCAUGCUCGCACUGCAGAGUCGAUUUCCGCGCUUAUAAACCCAGGGUCGUUCUCCCUUCUUUCAAAGAGCGCAUCCUCGAGACUACGUUUUACAGGAACGCGCUCACCGACCAAGCACACGUGUCGUGGGAUGAAAGGUCCGAUCACUUCUGACACCAAUGUAAUGAAAACAGCAAGGAUCAGGUCUCGAACCCUUGCCCUUCGAGCCCGAAGUCCAGCGCUAUCGACUGUGCCGCAAAGGCAUGCUCGCAGGGGAGAGUUGAUUUCCGAGCUUAUAAACCCAGGGUCGUUACACUAUGAUCAAAAUGAAAUGUACAUUCAAUCACACCAUCUAAAUUGAUUUGGAGUUAUUUCUAACUCUAUUUUACAAUGAUGGUGAGUUCACGUGAAACUGUAUUAACAACUUAUUAUUUGUCAAACUCUCAAAAUACUGAAACAACAUGGAAGCAUACUUACAAAACCUGCAAACAAAAAACCUGAUUUAUCUAUAAAAGCACAACCCAUUUGUUUACAUAUUAUGUAAAAGAAAUCACUAUAAAGAUAUUAAUGCAGAUCUCACAGGAUGGCUUACAUUGAAAUUGCAUAAACAAUUACCAACUUGUAUUAUUUUGGUUUCAAAUAAGAGCAUUUUCUCUCUUCUAUGCUAUGUAGUUUCCUCUGUCUUCUCUCUGGAGGACAGUUAACUGUCUGAGUUAGAUUGACCAUUUGUAAAUGUUAAUGUACAGAGGUUUGGAUCGAUUCAGAAAUAGAACAUCCCAGGCUCCACGCAUAUCGACUGAAAGAAAAGUAUGCAACCUCAAGCAGCACUUGGUUGUGCUCCUGAAUAAUUUAUUCACUUAUCUACAGUAGGAGUUUCAAUCUUAAUGAUUUACGUUGCACUCAAAUUAUACCAUAUCACAGUAUCUACAUUAUUGAGUCGUUAUAAAGCUGUAUUACACAAAAUCCUUCUUUGCUAGAAACCGGAAAUUCUCAAAUAACUUUUCCUUGCCCUGUAAAUAUAAUUUCCUUGCGCUAUGUACAGGCAUAUCUAGAUGCUGCGGACAUUUCAAAUACUAAUUCUGUACCAUCACACAGAAUUUAUAGGCAGAGAGAAGAAAUGUCUCCCUGUCAGUGGGGAAGGAUGGUUGGGAUGUAAUCAAUGGCUUGCAUUGUCAGGGUUUAUCGGCAAAGGGCAUCUACUGGCUCUGCUGUUUAGAUGGCCAGGGUCACGUAAAGUUGUGGAGACCUCCUAGGGGCUAUAGAUCUAUUGAGCGGGGCACUGAAACCUCAUUAGUUGAAAGAGAAAAGGUAACUGUUGGGCGAAAUACAGCAUGUACAAUCAAAGCAGAAAGAUUUGUGACCCGUUGCCAUGAAAACAGGGCAACCAGUGGAUCACAAACAUUGUAAAUACCACCAAUAUUUAUCUGUUUACUCAUCUUCCCCUACUAUUCAUACUACAACUAUUUGCACAUUGUAAAACACACUACAUAGCUGAUAAUAUAACAUUUAAUACAUCUUUAUCUUUUUGAAACGUUUGAGUGCAAUGUUUACUGUAC
Oncorhynchus tshawytscha (Chinook salmon) is the source of this 1899-nucleotide long non-coding RNA. The record is from Ensembl. NCBI's taxonomy places the organism in Eukaryota, Metazoa, Chordata, Actinopteri, Salmoniformes, Salmonidae.